CCGCACAAGCGGUGGAUGAUGUGGUUUAAUUCGAUGCAACGCGAAAACCUUACCCACCUUUGACAUGUACGGAACUCGCCAGAGAUGGCUUGGUGCUCGAAAGAGAGCCGUAACACAGGUGCUGCAUGGCUGUCGUCAGCUCGUGUCGUGAGAUGUUGGGUUAAGUCCCGCAACGAGCGCAACCCUUGUCAUUAGUUGCUACAUUUAGUUGGGCACUCUAAUGAGACUGCCGGUGACAAGCCGGAGGAAGGUGGGGAUGACGUCAAGUCCUCAUGGCCCUUAUAGGUGGGGCUACACACGUCAUACAAUGGCUGGUACAGAGGGUUGCCAACCCGCGAGGGGGAGCUAAUCCCAUAAAACCAGUCGUAGUCCGGAUCGCAGUCUGCAACUCGACUGCGUGAAGUCGGAAUCGCUAGUAAUCGCGGAUCAGAAUGUCGCGGUGAAUACGUUCCCGGGUCUUGUACACACCGCCCGUCACACCAUGGGAGCGGGUUCUGCCAGAAGUAGUUAGCCUAACCGCAAGGAGGGCGAUUACCACGGCAGGGUUCGUGACUGGGGUGGAGUCGUAACAAGGUAACCGUA
This 582-nucleotide ribosomal RNA is filed under the name uncultured bacterium. Its description in RNAcentral is "bacterial SSU rRNA". It matches the Rfam family "Bacterial small subunit ribosomal RNA", at positions 921 to 1504 of the family's 1533-position model. The record is from RNAcentral.